RNAcentral lists this ribosomal RNA (625 nucleotides) under Marinobacter sp. RNAcentral's name for it is "bacterial SSU rRNA". It matches the Rfam family "Bacterial small subunit ribosomal RNA", at positions 61 to 677 of the family's 1533-position model. Lineage: Bacteria; Pseudomonadati; Pseudomonadota; Gammaproteobacteria; Pseudomonadales; Marinobacteraceae. The record is from RNAcentral.
GUCGAGCGGUAACAGGGGGAGCUUGCUCCCCGCUGACGAGCGGCGGACGGGUGAGUAAUGCAUAGGAAACUGCCCAGUAGUGGGGGAUAGCCCGGGGAAACCCGGAUUAAUACCGCAUACGCCCUUUGGGGGAAAGCAGGGGAUCUUCGGACCUUGCGCUAUUGGAUGUGCCUAUGUCGGAUUAGCUAGUUGGUGGGGUAAGAGCCUACCAAGGCGACGAUCCGUAGCUGGUCUGAGAGGAUGAUCAGCCACAUCGGGACUGAGACACGGCCCGAACUCCUACGGGAGGCAGCAGUGGGGAAUAUUGGACAAUGGGGGCAACCCUGAUCCAGCCAUGCCGCGUGUGUGAAGAAGGCUUUCGGGUUGUAAAGCACUUUCAGUGAGGAGGAAAACCUUACGACUAAUACUCGUGAGGCUUGACGUUACUCACAGAAGAAGCACCGGCUAACUCCGUGCCAGCAGCCGCGGUAAUACGGAGGGUGCAAGCGUUAAUCGGAAUUACUGGGCGUAAAGCGCGCGUAGGUGGUUUGAUAAGCGAGAUGUGAAAGCCCCGGGCUCAACCUGGGAACGGCAUUUCGAACUGUCAGGCUAGAGUAUGGUAGAGGAGUGUGGAAUUUCCUGUGUA